CCUACGGGAGGCAGCAGUGAGGAAUAUUGGUCAAUGGCCGUAAGGCUGAACCAGCCAAGUCGCGUGAAGGAAGAAGGAUCUAUGGUUUGUAAACUUCUUUUAUAGGGGAAUAAAGGUAUCCACGUGUGGAUCUUUACAUGUACCCUAUGAAUAAGCAUCGGCUAACUCCGUGCCAGCAGCCGCGGUAAUACGGAGGAUGCGAGCGUUAUCCGGAUUUAUUGGGGUUAAAGGGUUCGUAGGUUGUUUUUUAAGUCAGCGGGGAAAGUUUGUGGCUCAACCAUAAAAUUGCCGUUGAAACUGGAAGACUGGAGUGUGCUUGAGGUAGGCGGAAUGCGUGGUGUAGCGGUGAAAUGCAUAGAUAUCACGCAGAACUCCGAUUGCGAAGGCAGCUUACUAAGCCAUAACUGACACUGAAGCACGAAAGCGUGGGGAUCAAACAGGAUUAGAUACCCCUGUAGUC
This 460-nucleotide ribosomal RNA is filed under the name uncultured bacterium. RNAcentral's name for it is "partial 16S ribosomal RNA". It matches the Rfam family "Bacterial small subunit ribosomal RNA", at positions 338 to 795 of the family's 1533-position model. The record is from RNAcentral.